This 85-nucleotide transfer RNA is filed under the name Pseudomonadota bacterium. RNAcentral's name for it is "tRNA-Leu". It matches the Rfam family "tRNA". Rfam says of the family: Transfer RNA (tRNA) molecules are approximately 80 nucleotides in length. The record is from RNAcentral. RNAcentral also lists the same sequence under 1 other name. Lineage: Bacteria; Pseudomonadati; Pseudomonadota.
GCCGAAGUGGUGGAAUUGGUAGACACGCUAUCUUGAGGGGGUAGUGGUAACAACCGUGCCGGUUCAAGUCCGGCCUUCGGCACCA